CCUACGGGCGGCUGCAGUGGGGAAUAUUGGACAAUGGGGGCAACCCUGAUCCAGCCAUGCCGCGUGUGUGAAGAAGGCCCUCGGGUUGUAAAGCACUUUCAGUGAGGAAGAACGCCUGGUGGUUAAUACCCAUCAGGAAAGACAUCACUCACAGAAGAAGCACCGGCUAACUCCGUGCCAGCAGCCGCGGUAAUACGGAGGGUGCGAGCGUUAAUCGGAAUUACUGGGCGUAAAGCGCGCGUAGGUGGCUUGAUAAGCCGGUUGUGAAAGCCCCGGGCUCAACCUGGGAACGGCAUCCGGAACUGGCAAGCUAGAGUGCAGGAGAGGAAGGUAGAAUUCCCGGUGUAGCGGUGAAAUGCGUAGAGAUCGGGAGGAAUACCAGUGGCGAAGGCGGCCUUCUGGACUGACACUGACACUGAGGUGCGAAAGCGUGGGUAGCAAACAGGAUUAGAUACCCGAGUAGUC
Molecule: ribosomal RNA, 465 nt
Filed under: Vreelandella stevensii
Lineage: Bacteria; Pseudomonadati; Pseudomonadota; Gammaproteobacteria; Oceanospirillales; Halomonadaceae
Description: partial 16S ribosomal RNA
Rfam family: Bacterial small subunit ribosomal RNA
Source: RNAcentral